RNAcentral lists this ribosomal RNA (1554 nucleotides) under Triticum aestivum (bread wheat). RNAcentral describes it as "partial small subunit ribosomal RNA". Lineage: Eukaryota; Viridiplantae; Streptophyta; Magnoliopsida; Poales; Poaceae. The record is from RNAcentral.
AUGGCGCUGCUCCGCCUCCACCUGCUCCGGCCGCCGCCUGCUCCGCUCGCCGCCUUCUCCUCCCCCUGGCGCCGCGCCCUCCCAACCACCAGACCCGCUGCACCCGCCUCCCGCCUCCUCUGCUCCAACCACCCCGCCGCCCCCUCCUCCCCCUCGCCCUCCAUCGUCGGCGGCCUGCUUGACUACCUCAACGAGUCGUGGACGCAGUUCCACGCCACCGCCGAGGCCAAGAGGCAGCUGCUCGCGGCGGGGUUCGAGCUGCUCAGCGAGAACGACGACUGGAACCUGCAGCCAGGUGGCCGCUACUUCUUCACGCGCAACAUGUCCUGCCUGGUCGCCUUUGCAGUCGGGGAAAAGUACAGAGUUGGUAAUGGUUUCAAUAUAAUUGCAGCCCACACUGAUAGUCCAUGCCUCAAGCUGAAACCGAGAUCUGCUUCCAUCAAAUCCGGCCAUCAAAUGGUAGGUGUACAGACAUAUGGAGGUGGGUUGUGGCACACAUGGUUUGAUAGAGAUCUAACUUUGGCUGGGCGAGUCAUCCUCAAGGCUCCAGAUGGUUCAUUUAAGCAUAAGCUUGUCAAAGUGAACAGACCACUCAUUCGCGUACCAACACUGGCUAUACAUCUCGACCGCACAGUGAAUUCUGAAGGAUUCAAGCCUAAUCUAGAGAGUCAUCUGGCUCCACUUCUUGCAACAAAAUGUGAAGAGACCACUGUCAAUUUUGAUGACAAAAAAGGUUCAAGUUCCACAAAGACUGUCCAUCAUCCACUACUAUUGCAAGUUCUUUCAGAAGAAAUCGGUUGUGGAUCAGAUGAAAUUAUUGGUAUGGAGUUGAACGUGUGUGAUACCCAACCUAGCUGCCUUGGUGGGGGGAAGAAUGAGUUCAUUUAUUCUGGUAGAUUGGAUAAUCUCGCUUCAUGUUACUGUGCCCUUAAAUCCCUCAUGGACUCUUCCAAGAUGCCAGAAGAUUUGUCCAACGAGAAGGGUAUAAGAAUGAUUGCUCUGUUUGAUAACGAAGAGGUUGGUUCAAAUUCGAUGCAAGGGGCAGGUGCACCAACCAUAUUCCAGGCCAUGAGACGAAUUGUUGACUCCUUGAUGCAUCAGUCCAUGGGGGAGGGGGCUUUAGAGCGUGCACUAACUUCUUCUUUCCUUGUUUCCGCAGAUAUGGCUCAUGCCCUGCACCCAAACUAUCCAGACAAGCAUGAAGAGUACCACAGACCAGAACUACAAAAAGGACUUGUUAUCAAGCAUAAUGCUAACCAGCGUUAUGCCACAAGUGCUGUAACAGCUUUUCUCUUCAAAGAAAUAGCUCGAAUUCAUAACCUUCCCGUCCAGGAAUUUGUUGUAAGGAAUGAUAUGGGUUGUGGCUCAACUAUCGGUCCCAUACUUGCUUCUGGUGUCGGCAUACGGACUGUUGAUUGUGGUAUUCCUCAGCUUUCCAUGCACAGCGUUCGGGAAAUGUGUGGCAAAGAAGACAUAGACACGACAUACAAGCACUUCAAAGCUUUCUUCGAGAUGUUCUCGGACAUUGACCAGAAACUGAAUGUAGAUUUUUAG